This 443-nucleotide ribosomal RNA is filed under the name uncultured bacterium. RNAcentral's name for it is "partial 16S ribosomal RNA". It matches the Rfam family "Bacterial small subunit ribosomal RNA", at positions 338 to 795 of the family's 1533-position model. The record is from RNAcentral.
CCUACGGGUGGCUGCAGUGGGGAAUAUUGGGCAAUGGGCGCAAGCCUGACCCAGCAACGCCGCGUGAAGGAAGAAGGCUUUCGGGUUGUAAACUUCUGUUCUGAGGGACGAAGAAAGUGACGGUACCUCAGGAAUAAGCCACGGCUAACUACGUGCCAGCAGCCGCAGUAAUACGGAGGUGGCAAGCGUUAUCCGGAUUUAUUGGGUGUAAAGGGAGUGUAGGCGGGAAAGCAAGUCAGAUGUGAAAACUCAGGGCUCAACCCUGAGCCUGCAUUUGAAACUGUUUUUCUGGAGUGCUGGAGAGGCAAGCGGAAUUCCGUGUGUAGCGGUGAAAUGCGUAGAUAUAAGGAGGAACACCAGUGGCGAAGGCGGAUUGCUGGACAGUAACUGACGCUGAGGCGCGAAGGCGUGGGGAGCAAACAGGAUUAGAUACCCGAGUAGUC